This 813-nucleotide ribosomal RNA is filed under the name Fusarium oxysporum. RNAcentral's name for it is "eukaryotic LSU rRNA". It matches the Rfam family "Eukaryotic large subunit ribosomal RNA", at positions 76 to 919 of the family's 3401-position model. The record is from RNAcentral. Lineage: Eukaryota; Fungi; Ascomycota; Sordariomycetes; Hypocreales; Nectriaceae.
UGCCCUAGUAACGGCGAGUGAAGCGGCAACAGCUCAAAUUUGAAAUCUGGCUCUCGGGCCCGAGUUGUAAUUUGUAGAGGAUACUUUUGAUGCGGUGCCUUCCGAGUUCCCUGGAACGGGACGCCAUAGAGGGUGAGAGCCCCGUCUGGUUGGAUGCCAAAUCUCUGUAAAGUUCCUUCAACGAGUCGAGUAGUUUGGGAAUGCUGCUCUAAAUGGGAGGUAUAUGUCUUCUAAAGCUAAAUACCGGCCAGAGACCGAUAGCGCACAAGUAGAGUGAUCGAAAGAUGAAAAGCACUUUGAAAAGAGAGUUAAAAAGUACGUGAAAUUGUUGAAAGGGAAGCGUUUAUGACCAGACUUGGGCUUGGUUAAUCAUCUGGGGUUCUCCCCAGUGCACUUUUCCAGUCCAGGCCAGCAUCAGUUUUCCCCGGGGGAUAAAGACGGCGGGAAUGUGGCUCUCUUCGGGGAGUGUUAUAGCCCACCGUGUAAUACCCUGGGGGGGACUGAGGUUCGCGCAUCUGCAAGGAUGCUGGCGUAAUGGUCAUCAACGACCCGUCUUGAAACACGGACCAAGGAGUCGUCUUCGUAUGCGAGUGUUCGGGUGUCAAACCCCUACGCGUAAUGAAAGUGAACGCAGGUGAGAGCUUCGGCGCAUCAUCGACCGAUCCUGAUGUUCUCGGAUGGAUUUGAGUAAGAGCAUACGGGGCCGGACCCGAAAGAAGGUGAACUAUGCCUGUAUAGGGUGAAGCCAGAGGAAACUCUGGUGGAGGCUCGCAGCGGUUCUGACGUGCAAAUCGAUCGUCAAAUAUGGGCAUG